This 503-nucleotide ribosomal RNA is filed under the name uncultured bacterium. RNAcentral describes it as "partial 16S ribosomal RNA". It matches the Rfam family "Bacterial small subunit ribosomal RNA", at positions 30 to 523 of the family's 1533-position model. The record is from RNAcentral.
AUUGAACGCUGGCGGCAGGCUUAACACAUGCAAGUCGAGCGGUGUGAUGGUGCUUGCACUAUCACUUAGCGGCGGACGGGUGAGUAAUGCUUAGGAAUCUGCCUAUUAGUGGGGGACAACAUCUCGAAAGGGAUGCUAAUACCGCAUACGUCCUACGGGAGAAAGCAGGGGAUCACUUGUGACCUUGCGCUAAUAGAUGAGCCUAAGGCGGAUUAGCUAGUUGGUGGGGUAAAGGCCUACCAAGGCAACGAUCUGUAGCGGGUCUGAGAGGAUGCUCCGCCACACUGGGACUGAGACACGGCCCAGACUCCUACGGGAGGCAGCAGUGGGGAAUAUUGGGCAAUGGGGGGAACCCUGAUCCAGCCAUGCCGCGUGUGUGAAGAAGGCCUUAUGGUUGUAAAGCACUUUAAGCGAGGAGGAGGCUCUUUUGGUUAAUACCCAAGAUGAGCGGACGUUACUCGCAGAAUAAGCACCGGCUAACUCUGUGCCAGCCGCCGCGGUAA